UACAGAGGUCCCGAGCGUUGUUCGGAAUUACUGGGCGUAAAGGGCUCGUAGGCGGCCAACUAAGUCGGAUGUGAAAUCCCCAGGCUUAACCUGGGAACUGCAUCCGAUACUGGAUGGCUUGAAUCCGGGAGAGGGAUGCGGAAUUCCAGGUGUAGCGGUGAAAUGCGUAGAUAUCUGGAGGAACACCGGUGGCGAAGGCGGCAUCCUGGACCGGCAUUGACGCUGAGGAGCGAAAGCCAGGGGAGCAAACGGG
Molecule: ribosomal RNA, 253 nt
Filed under: uncultured bacterium
Lineage: Bacteria
Description: partial 16S ribosomal RNA
Rfam family: Bacterial small subunit ribosomal RNA
Source: RNAcentral